Molecule: ribosomal RNA, 757 nt
Filed under: Vibrio sp. W208
Lineage: Bacteria; Pseudomonadati; Pseudomonadota; Gammaproteobacteria; Vibrionales; Vibrionaceae
Description: bacterial SSU rRNA
Rfam family: Bacterial small subunit ribosomal RNA
Source: RNAcentral
GCUCAGAUUGAACGCUGGCGGCAGGCCUAACACAUGCAAGUCGAGCGGAAACGACAUUAUUGAAUCUUCGGAUGAUUUAAUGGGCGUCGAGCGGCGGACGGGUGAGUAAUGCCUAGGAAAUUGCCUUGAUGUGGGGGAUAACCAUUGGAAACGAUGGCUAAUACCGCAUAAUGCCUACGGGCCAAAGAGGGGGAUCUUCGGGCCUCUCGCGUCAAGAUAUGCCUAGGUGGGAUUAGCUAGUUGGUGAGGUAAUGGCUCACCAAGGCGACGAUCCCUAGCUGGUCUGAGAGGAUGAUCAGCCACACUGGAACUGAGACACGGUCCAGACUCCUACGGGAGGCAGCAGUGGGGAAUAUUGCACAAUGGGCGAAAGCCUGAUGCAGCCAUGCCGCGUGUAUGAAGAAGGCCUUCGGGUUGUAAAGUACUUUCAGUUGUGAGGAAGGGGGUAACGUUAAUAGCGUUAUCUCUUGACGUUAGCAACAGAAGAAGCACCGGCUAACUCCGUGCCAGCAGCCGCGGUAAUACGGAGGGUGCGAGCGUUAAUCGGAAUUACUGGGCGUAAAGCGCAUGCAGGUGGUUCAUUAAGUCAGAUGUGAAAGCCCGGGGCUCAACCUCGGAACUGCAUUUGAAACUGGUGAACUAGAGUGCUGUAGAGGGGGGUAGAAUUUCAGGUGUAGCGGUGAAAUGCGUAGAGAUCUGAAGGAAUACCAGUGGCGAAGGCGGCCCCCUGGACAGACACUGACACUCAGAUGCGAAA